UCGUGUCGAAAUAAUCCACAGAGCACGACAACUGAAGGCGGCGCAACAGCAGGGUUGCGCACGAGCAGCGACGACAAGGCAGCGCACGAGCGAGUACAGCGGCUGCAGCACGGAUACAGCCCUCCCUCGCCCGCCCUUCGCUCUGCGUGGCUCCCUCGCCUCCGGCCUCCGCUCCGUUCCGCGUGGAUCCCUCGCCUCCAGCCAAGUUCUUUUCAAGAUUCAAGUUCUUUUCAGAGACCCAUCCCUUGCUGUACUGAAGCAUAUUCACUAGCCUACUUUGAGGUAGCAUUUACAAAACUUUGAGGUGUUUGUGGUUCAUUGACCUACUUUGAUGAAUACUUGAUGAUAGAUAGUUUGUUGUUAUUAGUAAACAGUAUUUGCAAAAGAAUAAUAUACAAGCAAUUUCUUGGCAAUAUCAAACAUGAACCUCAGUAAAGUUGGCUUUGAUUAUUUAUUAUAUAUCGGUUUCAGAAAUCAGGUUACAAUAUUACGAAGAAAUUAUCCAUUACAAAUAUGGUUUUUACAUGUACUUCUCCUAUAUUAAAGAUGCCUGAAUUUUUAGUUGAUUUCAGAAAAUACUCUUAUACAGUCAACUAGUACAAAUAAACUGUUACAUUUGUGAUUUGUUAUUUUUCUUUGUAUCAUCAUUAUACAUUGAAAUUUUGAGAGGAAGCUAAAAUUAUUGAUUACAUGUAGUUUGUAAUUCAAUGCUGGUGAAUUGGUGAUUGGUUAGUUAGAGAAGAUCUUCAGUUUUCUACUGAAACCGUGCUAGCAGAAGAAAACCUGGUCACCUUGGUCCAUUUUAUCAUAUUUUUUUAUAUCAGGUUCUAAAAUUUUUGCAAUAAAAUGAAUUAGUGUGAAGUCUUGGAUGAUUUAAUAAUUUUAUGUGCACUGAAUGUGAGUCCUGUUGUUGUGUUCUUGCCUGUGUUCUGGAUAUAAUCAGUGACUGACAGCUGUAUUUGCAGUUGUCUCUGUACAAAGAAUUAGUCUAUUUUGGAGGUUUUUACAUAGAAUUAGUCUAUUCACCAACACUCAUCUGUAUUUGUAGUUGUCUCUGUACUUGUAGUUGUCUCAUGAUACUGAUGGAUUAUCUAGUCCUUGAUCACUGUUUUUUCUAUACUUAGUGAAUAGGACAACUGGCAGCAUAGUUGUCAGGCAUUUCGUUCCUGUCUAGUUUGCAUUAUGACAAUUUAUGUUUAUUCACCAAACUGGACUUCCUAUUAGCUAAUAUGUCUAAAGUGUUAGUACACAUUUUUGUUUCCCUAUCAUAUAUGUAUAUGUUCAUCUGGUCACAAAUCAUAGCUUGGUCUCUAUGUUGCUUUAUGUCAGCAUUUAUUUAUUAAGCUUGGUAAGGCAUUAUACCAUAAACAAUAGUAAAUAAUUCCAAAAAAAACAUCUUUACAUGAAGUAAGUUUGUAACAGAUAGAUGAACAAAUUAUACAAUUUUGAAGCAAAACAACAAAAAAUACUCCUUUACGAUUAUAGUACUCCUUUUUAGCAGGUUUCUCCAUACUCACAAAUUAAUCGAUCACUAAUAGUAUUUAUAAGUGAUUUUAUCUUUCUAAAUAGUACCCGAACUCUUUUUUUAUUUUUUCUUAACUCCUAACGUGACCGUCCUUGCUUGUUGGAUUUCUUGGGAUGCUACAUUUGGUCAUCAAGGAUAUGGUCGGCAGGAUCAAAGUCAUACUGAUGCUGAAAACUGAUGUGUGAAUUGCUGCUUGAUAGCAGUUUUUUGUCUGAAAACUGAUGCUGAAAAACUGAAAGCCACUUCUCUGCCUGAUAAGAUCAAAUACAGCUGCUCUCUUUCUGUAAGCAGUAUUUUUUUUUGUUUGUCAAAACUGAAAGCAUGCAAGCCACUUAUUUGUUUGUCAAAACAGCUGCUAUAUUUGUUUGUCAAAAUGGCUGGAAGCAAGUCACUUCAGCACUUAUAUUGGUUAGAUUGGCACCCAUGCAGAACUGAAGGUUUCAGUUAAUCAUGUAGAGCCCUCACAAUUAUCAUUGUCCGUGUAUGAAGCAGAAUUGAAGAUUACUGACAUGCACUUGUCAUUGAUAUCAGCUGUGUUUUCGGAUUGUUCUGAUUGCGGAUGAAAGCAAUUGCGGUUGUUUUGGUUGAUGUUUUGAUUGCUGGCUGCUGGGGCUAACUGAACAAGCAAAAAGAGAGACAGGGAAACUAUUGAAUAGGUAAUUAAACCACACAGGGAAAGAGUGGCAGGAGGGGAUCCAUUGAAUCCACUUGUGGAUUAAUUCUACCUAGGGAUUAAAUCCAUGCCAGGACCUGCAUGAGCAUGAUCGUCCGCAGAGAUUUUCUACUAGAUACGUCGUUGCCCAGUUGGAUCUUGGAUGUCCCUCUCCUCAUGACGAUCAGACGAU
Molecule: long non-coding RNA, 2370 nt
Filed under: Zea mays
Lineage: Eukaryota; Viridiplantae; Streptophyta; Magnoliopsida; Poales; Poaceae
Description: long non-coding RNA (ZMAY_LNC003918)
Source: RNAcentral